Molecule: unclassified non-coding RNA, 253 nt
Filed under: uncultured Gemmatimonadaceae bacterium
Lineage: Bacteria; Pseudomonadati; Gemmatimonadota; Gemmatimonadia; Gemmatimonadales; Gemmatimonadaceae
Description: contains 16S-23S intergenic spacer region
Rfam family: Bacterial small subunit ribosomal RNA
Source: RNAcentral
UACGGAGGGUGCGAGCGUUGUCCGGAAUCACUGGGCGUAAAGGGCGCGUAGGCGGCGGUGCAAGGCUGUGGUGAAAGCCCGGGGCUCAACCCCGGGUCUGCCGUGGCGACUGCAUCGCUUGAGCACUGUAGAGGCAGGUGGAAUUCCGGGUGUAGCGGUGGAAUGCGUAGAGAUCCGGAAGAACACCGGUGGCGAAGGCGGCCUGCUGGGCAGUGGCUGACGCUGAGGCGCGACAGCGUGGGGAGCAAACAGG